This is a long non-coding RNA of Drosophila rhopaloa, 969 nucleotides long. RefSeq lists it as uncharacterized. The record is from RefSeq and is a predicted model, not a curated record. NCBI's taxonomy places the organism in Eukaryota, Metazoa, Arthropoda, Insecta, Diptera, Drosophilidae. The transcript is spliced from 3 exons.
AUAAAGUAGGUUGGAUGUUAGUUAUUUCAACUCAGCUGAAGGAAGUGAAUCAUUUUCCAAAAAUGAAAUCGAUUACCAUAGCUCUUUUAUUAAUAACCAUUAUUGGUUUUUCCUUGGCUUCAGACACUCCCGACUGCCAUGACCGUCGAAAUGAGCUGCACCCACAAUGCUCAUCCCGAAUCAGCGACUUGUACUUGUUACAAAAAAACUAAAUAAUAUUGUAAAGAAAACAUUAAUUAGGAUUGUAUUUUUUCUAAAUUUUGUAUUCAUGGUUAAUCGUUAAAAAAUGCAUGCCCCCAAUCCGGAAUUGAUUUUGUCAUUUAGUUGGAAGCAAAAUGAGGUCCAGAAUAAAUGACUCAACCGAAUCAAUUAGCAACCGUUAUACAAAAAAUUAUAUAAAAACCUACUCCCUAAAUGUGUUGGAUGUUAGUAAUUUCAACUCAGCUGAAGGAAGUGAAUCAUUUCCUAAAAAUGAAUUCGAUUACUAUAGCUUUUUUAUUAAUAACCAUUAUUGUUUUUACCAUGGGCUUAAAACAUCCCAUCUGCGGUCGUCGUCCGGCUGAUGGCUUCCUCAUAUGCAAUAAGGGAGGCCGUGGAGGAUUUGUAUAUAAGCUCAAAACGAAUACAUGUGAAUCCCAUCCUAUCUGUUCUGGGGAAAUCAGCAAUUAUUUCACGGAUAUCGCUGCUUGCGAAGCAAAGUGCAAGGAAUAAGAAAAUAAUAAAUAUAUUGACAUAUCCACAGUACCACAAGGGCCUAUGUAUACCAUACUAUAAACACAUACACAAAUAGCGUGUAUCCAGAUUCAAUAGAAGCCGAAAAGUCUCUCAGAACAUUUCUAAAGUUCACCCGAUAUCCAGAAAGCUCGAGACCAAGACUUGAAAAACCUUAUACUAAUAGGUCGCUGUGCCUCACUUUAAUAAUUGCUUUUUAUUAUAAUAAAUCUUACUUGUUUUUGCACACGACUUAAA